UUAAAUGGCCGCAGUAUUUUGACUGUGCAAAGGUAGCAUAAUCAUUAGUUUUUUAAUUAAAAGCUGGAAUGAAGGGUUGAACGAGAAAAUAACUGUCUCUUUAUAAAUUUUUUAGAAUUUUAUUUUUAAGUUAAAAAGCUUAAAUUUUUUUAAAAGACGAGAAGACCCUAUAGAGUUUUAUAAUUUUUAAUUAAAAAUAUUUUAAGUUGAAUUAUUAAUUUUUUUAAGUAAAUAUUAUUUGAUUGGGGUGAUUGAAAAAUUUAGUUAACUUUUUUUUAAUAAAUUCAUUAAUAAAUGAAUUAUUGAUCCAAAUAAUUUUGAUUAUAAGAAUAAAUUACCUUAGGGAUAACAGCGUAAUUUUUUUUAAGAGUUCUUAUCGAUAAAAAAGUUUGCGACCUCGAUGUUGGAUUAAAAUUUAAUUUUGGUGUAGAAGCUAAAAUAUUAGGUCUGUUCGACCUUUAAAAUUUUACAUGAUCUGAGUUUAAACCGGUGUGAGCCAGGUUGGUUUCUAUCUUUAAAUAUAUUAUAAUAUUUUAGUACGAAAGGACCAAGUAUUAAUAAUAAUUAUUUUAUUAAGAUUAAUAAUAAUA
This 590-nucleotide ribosomal RNA is filed under the name Oxypodini gen. sp. 1 ZMUN 10029199. Its description in RNAcentral is "partial 16S ribosomal RNA". The stretch from base 345 to 503 matches the Rfam family "Bacterial large subunit ribosomal RNA", at positions 2473 to 2632 of the family's 2925-position model. Lineage: Eukaryota; Metazoa; Arthropoda; Insecta; Coleoptera; Staphylinidae. The record is from RNAcentral.